AGUCCUGCUUUUCUCCUGAAGACUUGUCUUGACAAGGAAAUCAUUGAUGUCAAGGAAUAUUUAGUUUCUGGGGAUUUUUCCCCAGAAAAAAGAAUAAAAUUGAACAGCAGAAUACAAACAUGGAGUCCUAGAGCUAUUUGAGUAGGAUAAUUCAAAAGACUGACCAGAUUAUAAGAAAAUUAAUAAGAAAUGCCUUGAUGCACUACAUUAAAGAUAAAGGACGAACUAAAUUUUGCAGCUGAAAUCACAUUGCACCAAAUGAAAGGAUUGGAAGUUGGACAGGGGCUGAGAUGCAUAGAGAACAAGGCUUUACACACUACAGGAAAAGGCUUUCUGAAGUGCUCCUGCAAGAAGAAAAUCAUUUUAAGCAGUCUUCUCCUUCCCAUUUAGCUCCAUUCUCUUAAAUAAUUAUUUAUAGCUGUAUCCUGCUUCUUGGUUUAUCUCCAACAGCUUCUUCUCUUGGACCAAAAAGAUAUGUCAGCUUCAUUCUUCUGCCAAUAGCUCCUUCUUUCUUGGAAACCUAAGAGUUGUUCUGUACAAUUUCCAGCCAAACAGAUUCAGUGUACUUAUAUAUGUGUGGUUUGUGAAUGAAUGAACACGUGCAUUUGCAUUACUUUUAUGUAAUUUGAAACAAAUUACAUGAAGAAGGAAGGAAGGAAGAUUAUAGAAAUUUUAUUUAAAAAAAUCUUCCUACAAUAUUACCUACGUACUUUGACUGGCAGUACUAUUCAAAGAAAAUUCUUGCUUUUCUCCUGUUAUCUGACCCAGUUUGUAACCACAUUUCUGUUUGCUAGGAUGUUACUAUAUGGAAAACUUGCAGUCUGUCAUGAAUUAAAAACAUUAUUGGUUCAAACAAGUUAUGUAAGAACUGCUACCCAAUAAUAAUCUCUCAAAUGUAUGCAUUGUGUCUGAAUAUGUAACCAAAUCAAUUAGGCUUCUUGCAUUUAAAUGGUCAGGAUUAUUAUUUUUUUUAAUUAAACUCAAGAAAUGAUUCCACUAACAUGGUUAAAAAAACAUUUUCAGAUAUUGAAAAGCAUUACAUAGUAUCUUCAAAAAUUUGAAGAGUACCAAUGCUUUUGUCAUCUUCUAGUUAGUUUAAAAACCCAUUAGUAAGAUAGUUACAAAUGGAGAACUCCGGGUCAAAAAUAUUUAAAAUAGUGGAUUUUCGUCUAUUGACAAUCACUGACAAUUAGUUAGUAAGUUAUAAUGAAAUCUGCAGAAUGGUAUGUAAAUCUGGUCGUACAGUUCUUCCAAAAGCAUUUUAGUUUCGUUAACUGAAGAAAGACAGAUAUUUUGGGUGCAACAUUUGGGCAAAUCUAUUAUAAUUUCUAUGUUUGUUAUUCUACCCUUUUGCCUCCAUCCUCCAAGCACCCUGUUGAAACCUUAGUUGUCAGAAAUCUUACUGGUUUAAGUUAAGGAGCUUGAAGCUUAGGUGAGAAUGACUGGUUUUAAACCUACACAACAAAUGUUUUUAAUAUGGAUCUAGCAUGAUCUUAUGGGUGUGUUUAUAUAUGCAAGAGGAAAGAGACAGAGAAAACUACCAUGUGUGUAUGAAAGAAUUGUUUCCUCUGUUUUUCUGAACAGUGUCUCUCCUGUAAACUCCUUGAAAUCCUGUGUUUCUAUUGAGAUUUAAUUGAAGGAGGUUUAAUCGAGGUGAAGAUCUCAUGAGGGAAUGCUUUUCAAUGGGUUUUGGGUUUUUUGGCAAUGGUUUUUUGUCAUAACUAAAAGUGUUAUUGCUUAGAGAAAUUUUGAGAAAUUGUUCAUCUAAUUUCUUUUUCUGGUAAUUUGACAGGGAAUUUUAAAAGGCCAUUUGGGCUUAGGUCUAAUCAGCGUGAGAUUAAAAAGGAACACAGUACAUUUUAUGGUGACCUUCCUCCUGGAUUUUUAUUGGAUUGUUAUUAUCCAUCUGGUAAUUAGGAUUAUCAGCCAAUUUUCUCAUCUCCUGCUUCUACUGGCAAUUCUGAAGGUUGAGGGGGAAUGAAAGAAGAAUCAGUGUCAAAACAGCAAGGCUAAUGAAAGAAUCCUGCUGCUAAUUUCCUUUGAUUGCAAACUGCACAAUUGAAAGUAAUCAGCAUUGUCACAGAAGAAGGUCACAAAGAUCUACUUAAUAAGAUAUUAAAAGAUGAAAGAACGGAUCUUGAAGGAUGGCAUUUUUGUUAAUAAAAGACUGUGCAAUGAAAUGACCAGACUGUAACACCACCAGCAGCAAAACAAUCAGGUUAUAUGAAAAAAUUAGUAGUGAUCAAACACAAUAGACUACUGGAUUUCUCAUUUGUGUGAAACCGAGUUUGAGGAGAAUGAACCGAUCACUAGAGUACCAUACUUCAACACUGUCAAUUAACCAAUCUUCACUGAGACUUUUUUAGCAUUAUACUGUAUAUGGCCUCAUAUGGGCACUGUAAAAAUACAAGAUGUGUUAUCAGUGAUAAACAGAUAUUAAUGACCUUGAACAUAUCAAAUCCUUGAUUAAAUGUAUGUUCCUCCUGCAUUACAGCAGCUUUGGCAGCCUGAACAUAUACUUUGUUUGAGUUACAUCAAACACUAAACAUUCAGGGAUUUAUAUUACUUUAAUCCACUGCAGGCAGUGCUUCAUUUAAUUUUAUUGGCUGUGCUGGAGGUAGUGGAUCUAUUUGGGGGGCGGGGGGGGGGGAAAGCUCUUUUACGUAUCUUUUCAAAAGGGCUUAAUUAUAUUUUAUAGCCUAGGCCAGGAGCCCUGCUUGUUUUCUGUCUAACAAGGUUCAAAUGGAGUUCAGACAAGCGAUGAAUCAGAAGCAAAGUCAGAGAUGGUUAUCUUUAUGAAAUGAGCUCAUCUCCAUUUAGGAAAGGAGCAGGUACAUCAUGGUCA
Pantherophis guttatus is the source of this 2845-nucleotide non-coding RNA. Lineage: Eukaryota; Metazoa; Chordata; Lepidosauria; Squamata; Colubridae. The record is from RefSeq and is a predicted model, not a curated record.